Molecule: long non-coding RNA, 420 nt
Filed under: Linum usitatissimum (flax)
Lineage: Eukaryota; Viridiplantae; Streptophyta; Magnoliopsida; Malpighiales; Linaceae
Description: long non-coding RNA (LUSI_LNC001559)
Source: RNAcentral
CUGGAUCACUUGAGAGCUGUUUAUAACCGGUAUUAUCUCCUUCAACUACCAACGACGAUGUUGAUUGACUUGAAGUACCAGCAGCGCUUCCUGAGUCGUCUUGAUCAAUGGUCAUGUACAAAUCAGCAGUAGCAUUGGCUUCAGUGAGCCGGAAAAAAUCAUCAAGAUCCCGAUAGAGAGUUCUGCUGCUGGUGUCAAACAAGGCUGGAUCACUUGAGAAGUGUUUCUAACGUGAACACCACUAGUAUUAUCUUCGUCAACUACCAACGAUGAUGUUGAUUGACCACAUGUACCAGUAGGUCCUUGUGAGUCGUCUUCUUGAUCAAUAGUCGUGUCAGUAGCCAUAGCUUCAGUGAGCAACAGAAGAAGAUCAAUAUCUUGUUGGAGAGUUUCAGCUGCUGAUCGAGAGCCUUGAACAUC